GUGAGAUUCCCCAGCUUGAAGAUUAUGUAUGUUUGAAACUCUGUUUUGAGGAAGUUAACCAAAUAUUCAGAGGACUUCUGCUGGUUCUUCGCUUGGAGAUUAAUAUCAUGCACAAAAGCUGGACUCACCACUGAGACAUAUUGAACAGAAAACAAGGAUAUGCUUCUGCGUAAAAAACCA
This 180-nucleotide long non-coding RNA is filed under the name Strigops habroptila (Kakapo). RNAcentral's name for it is "lncRNA (ENSSHBG00005000941.1)". The record is from RNAcentral. Lineage: Eukaryota; Metazoa; Chordata; Aves; Psittaciformes; Psittacidae.